CGGGGCUGGAGGACCUGGCGAGGCGGUUGGCCCUCCGACCAAUCAGAGUGAAUGAGAGGCGGGACUUGAUUAUACCACGUGAUCAUCCUCGCGGACAGCGCGGCUGUGCGGGCGGAGAGCUGUCGCACAACCAGAACUGGACAGAGUAUUCCAGAAGAGGCCUCCCCAACAUCUUGUACAUCCCCAACAUAACGUCCCAACUCCUGUACUCCAAGGUCUGAACAAUCAAGAUCCCAGUGAUUAAUGCCAAAGCCCUGUUGCCUGGGGAGAGGGUGAUGUUUGACUUUCUUGUACAGCUGCAGUUUGUGUGGUGAAGGUGCUCCCACAAUGUGGUUGGGAUGAGGCUGUCACUGGCUCGGCCAGCAUUUAUUGCUGCGUUUACCCAGAGGGCAGUUAAGAAUCAACCACGUUGCUAUAGUUCUGGAGUCCCAUGCAGACCAGACCAGAUCCCAGUGAUCAGUGCCAAAGCCCCAUUGCCUGUGGAGAGGGUGAUGUUUGAUUUCCCUGUCCAGCUGCAGUUCAUGUGGUGAAGGUGCUCCCACAAUGUGGUUGGGUGGACAUUCAGAUGGUAAUCUCAGUAAUUGUAACGCCAAACUGUGACAAAAUUACUCAAUUCAUCAGGAGCUGGAU
Molecule: long non-coding RNA, 630 nt
Organism: Hemiscyllium ocellatum (epaulette shark)
Lineage: Eukaryota; Metazoa; Chordata; Chondrichthyes; Orectolobiformes; Hemiscylliidae
Exons: 6
Source: RefSeq, a predicted model, not a curated record